CACGAGAGAAGGAAGACAGUCCACCUGCCCAUAGUCUUGUAAACCAUAGUCUUUUAAAUUUGUCUUCUUGAUUUCGUUGUAAAAAAUACUCAAAAGACAAGUUUCAUGUAUCAGGAUUCUUAUUCGGAAACAAGAUCACCACCAAACAAAGGAACCGCGAAAAAGGAACUCCAUCAAGGAGUUUUUCCUUGCAAGGCUGGCUGAGUAACGCUUGGGCCUCGCUCAGAAUUCUUUACAUCAACACCACCAUCAAGAAGUACCUUUGGAGUGGAAGGAGAUGAGGCAGUCACACAGUGGCCAGUUUUCCACUGACUCAUUGAGGAUGACGUCCUCUGGAAAGAUGACCACGGUGAUGUACUCAAACCUGCAAAGUCUCUCCAGGAUCUGGGUCAUUGGCUUGGACUUUGACUUCUUCAUCAUGCAGCAUAUCCCCACAACAAUCUGUUGCUCAGGGGGCUGAACAAGAAUGUGAAAAAGUACAGCGAGAAAGAGACCUCGCUCUCAUCGUCUUCGCAGCCCACAAAAAAUCUGGGAGCGCCACGCCGGCUCUCGCCCGGGCUGUUGGGCUCUGACAUCACAGUCUCCCGCAGCAGCCCUCAGCGUCCCACCGCACCAUUGUACACCAACACAC
Phyllopteryx taeniolatus (common seadragon) is the source of this 631-nucleotide long non-coding RNA. RefSeq lists it as uncharacterized. The record is from RefSeq and is a predicted model, not a curated record. The transcript has 3 exons. Lineage: Eukaryota; Metazoa; Chordata; Actinopteri; Syngnathiformes; Syngnathidae.